Long non-coding RNA from Homo sapiens (human), 554 nucleotides. RefSeq lists it as uncharacterized. NCBI's taxonomy places the organism in Eukaryota, Metazoa, Chordata, Mammalia, Primates, Hominidae. The transcript has 3 exons. The record is from RefSeq and is a predicted model, not a curated record.
GAGAUGGAGCUCUGCAUAUGCAGGCUUUGAUGCUGUUGUUCUCAACAGGGUCAGGCCUGGUGAUUAUGUGAUGUCCUUCUUUGGUGUGUUUGACCCAGUGUUGUUUGGAGUCUGAGGAGGUUUGGCCUUAAAAAAUCAAACUACCAUGGAAACUGCUUUACCCAAAAUUUUGUUUCCCAGCCUUCACAAGAUUGCCUACUGGGGAGAGUUUAGUUAUGUGAACAUAUUCAUAAACUGGACGCAAUUGAAGACAUUGGUUAUUCUACCAAGGCUUUGACUGAAAUGACAUAUAUUUUGACACACAGGAGGUUAUUUCUGAGAGAAAGCCAGCCUGGUGGACUAGAUGAAAGUCACUGUAAGAUCUGUUGAUCCUGAGAAGAGGAAUUGCACAACUCCACCUGUCAAUGCCAAGUGGAGCACCCAGACGACGCAGCUGAUAGACUUCCUAUGCAAGCCAUGGGGGAUUAGCCUGAUGACAGGAAUAUUAACCUUACUUUUUGACUUUUGGGUUUCGGCUAUUAAGUUGUUUAAAAGGGUUUUAAGAAUUAAUGGGU